AUGGGUAUUCUGCAUGGCUUUGGGGAUGCAGCUGGUCUCAAGAUUAACCUCGCUAAAUCAUCUGUGACGCACAUCCGCUAUGAGGACAUCAAUAUGGCCGAGGUUUUGCAGAGCUUUGGGGGACAAAUGAAGUCCUUCCCGAUAACAUACCUGGGGCUACCGAUUAUACCGGCAAGGCUCAGGCUUGUGCACCUUCAAUUCGUCCUUGAUCGCAUCUGAGCUCGGCUGGUGGGGUGGAAGACGAAGCUGCUAACCAUUGCCGGACGUCGAGUGCUAGUCCGAGCGGUCCUCACCUCGCGGCCGACCUUCACCCUCACCGCGCUGCGGGUGCCGAAGAAGCUUCUAAAAGAGAUUGACAAAUCCAGAGGAAAGUUCCUUUGGGCGCACAAUGAGAUGAUCACAGGGGCAAAUGCAAAGUUAAUUGGGCAAAGGUGUGUACCCCGAUCGAGCAUGGCGGUCUUGGCAUCCUCGACCUGCAGAAGUAUGGCCGAGCGCUACGGCUUCGGUGGCUCUGGUACACAUGGAAAAACCCUGAUCGAGCCUGGCUGGGCAUGGACUUACCCAGUGAUGUCACGGACAGGGCCAUGUUCACAGCUGCAACUUCUAUCUCAUUAG
This 615-nucleotide ribosomal RNA is filed under the name Triticum aestivum (bread wheat). Its description in RNAcentral is "partial small subunit ribosomal RNA". The record is from RNAcentral. Lineage: Eukaryota; Viridiplantae; Streptophyta; Magnoliopsida; Poales; Poaceae.